This 491-nucleotide ribosomal RNA is filed under the name uncultured bacterium. RNAcentral describes it as "partial 16S ribosomal RNA". It matches the Rfam family "Bacterial small subunit ribosomal RNA", at positions 29 to 507 of the family's 1533-position model. The record is from RNAcentral.
AUGAACGCUAGCUACAGGCUUCACACCUGCAAGUCGAGGGGAAACGACAUCGAAAGCUUGCUUUUGAUGGGCGUCGACCGGCGCACGGGUGAGUAACGCGUAUCCAACCUGCCCAUCACUUGGGAAUAACCUUGCGAAAGUAAGACUAAUACCCAAUGAUAUCCCACGAAGGCAUCGGAAUGGGAUUAAAGAUUUAUCGGUGAUGGAUGGGGAUGCGUCUGAUUAGCUUGUUGGCGGGGUAACGGCCCACCAAGGCAACGAUCAGUAGGGGUUCUGAGAGGAAGGUCCCCCACAUUGGAACUGAGACACGGUCCAAACUCCUACGGGAGGCAGCAGUGAGGAAUAUUGGUCAAUGGGCGAGAGCCUGAACCAGCCAAGUAGCGUGCAGGAAGACGGCCCUAUGGGUUGUAAACUGCUUUUAUAAGGGAAUAAAGUGGGUCACGUGUGACUUUUUGCAUGUACCUUAUGAAUAAGGACCGGCUAAUUCCGUG